RNAcentral lists this transfer RNA (66 nucleotides) under Alloeorhynchus bakeri. Its description in RNAcentral is "tRNA-Cys". The record is from RNAcentral. Lineage: Eukaryota; Metazoa; Arthropoda; Insecta; Hemiptera; Nabidae.
GGCUUUAUAGUCAAUUUAUUAUGAUAUUAGAAUGCAAUUCUGAAGUAGUUUAGUAAGCUAAAGCUU